CCGGCUCCUCCGCGCCUCGCGGGCUGCCAGGAUCCCCGGUCUCGGCGCCUCUGGUGCCGGGAGCGCCGGCUGCGGCCGCGGACGGAGACGGCGGCGGCGGAGGCACCGACUCGAGCUUCACCAGGGUCAGCGAGAUGAGCUCUGCUGUCUGCGAAGGCGGUGCAAAAUCCUGGACUGGAUUGCCCUACCAAAUCCUGGUCUGGAUUUCCUGGAACUUGGACUCACCUACUCCAGCAAUUUAGCCCCCUCCCCUAGCACAGCACCGUUAGGGAGCACGACUGUUAGGAGAGACAUCUAAGGACAAGGAUAAAAAUCAUUCUAUGGGUGGACAGUCGCAGCGAAAACGGAGCAAAUUCGGGGUCAUUGCCAAUUCUGGGGAAGCUGAAGUGGAAAAGUGGGGAGCCCUGAAAUCCAUUUCCCAGGACCCCUUGUCUCCUCGAGGGAACCUGAGCUGCUCUGGGAACCCUCACUGCCCGAUCCUCCUUCACGGGCUCACUGUCCACUUCCCCGGUCACUUUUCUUCUCGCCCAACACCGGCCUUCGAUUUGGAUUACCAACCCCUCUCCAAAGACGAUGAUCCUUAUUGAACCUGGAACACGCAUCGCCAC
Long non-coding RNA from Manis javanica (Malayan pangolin), 608 nucleotides. RefSeq lists it as uncharacterized. Lineage: Eukaryota; Metazoa; Chordata; Mammalia; Pholidota; Manidae. The record is from RefSeq and is a predicted model, not a curated record.